Non-coding RNA from Pelobates cultripes (western spadefoot toad), 453 nucleotides. NCBI's taxonomy places the organism in Eukaryota, Metazoa, Chordata, Amphibia, Anura, Pelobatidae. The record is from the annotation of a GenBank genome assembly.
CUGGCACACAGAACUCACAAUUUAUGCAACACAAAACUCCUCCUCUGGGCCAGGCUAGAUAAUUGAGUUUCUACAAUACACAAAGCUCAAUUAUCUGCUGGCCAGAAACAUUACAGUUUUCAACAAUUUCAGAAAAGUACUUUUUAUAUUACAUACAAACAUAAUUUUAAUAUCCCUGGGUAGCUGCUGGUCUGGGGAGCAACAUACUUAAAUUUCACGAAAAUCCGUUUGGUAGUUUUCGUGUUGCGUCGUGUGGAAGUUUGACCGGCUCCCUGCAUGCUGGUAUCCGAUUUAGAGUUCCAUGAAAUUGGGACUAAGAGCCGGUCUCCGUUCGCAUCAAUUUACACGAAAACUACCAGGGUUAAGAUACAGAGAGUUUGUGGAAAGUGUUCCCCUCAUUCGGUAGAUUGAAUUUCCCGAACGCCGUUCGUGUCCAGUUCGUGGAAAUAGGUC